GACAGAGGGUGCAAACGUUGUUCGGAUUUACUGGGCGUAAAGCGCGUGUAGGCGGCUUUGCAAGUCGGAUGUGAAAGCCCUCGGCUUAACCGAGGAAGUGCAUUCGAAACUAAGGGACUUGAAUACUGGAGAGGAUGGCGGAAUUCCCGGUGUAGAGGUGAAAUUCGUAGAUAUCGGGAGGAACACCAGCGGCGAAGGCGGCCAUCUGGACAGAUAUUGACGCUGAGGUGCGAAAGCGUGUGGAGCAAACAGG
RNAcentral lists this ribosomal RNA (253 nucleotides) under uncultured bacterium. RNAcentral describes it as "partial 16S ribosomal RNA". It matches the Rfam family "Bacterial small subunit ribosomal RNA", at positions 524 to 776 of the family's 1533-position model. The record is from RNAcentral.